GACGAACGCUGGCGGCGUGCUUAACACAUGCAAGUCGAACGGAAAGGCCCUGCUUUUGUGGGGUGCUCGAGUAGCGAACGGGUGAGUAACACGUGAGUAACCUGCCCUUGACUUUGGGAUAACUUCAGGAAACUGGGGCUAAUACCGGAUAGGAGCUCCUGCUGCAUGGUGGGGGUUGGAAAGUUUCGGCGGUUGGGGAUGGACUCGCGGCUUAUCAGCUUGUUGGUGGGGUAGUGGCUUACCAAGGCUUUGACGGGUAGCCGGCCUGAGAGGGGGACCGGCCACAUUGGGACGGAGAUACGGCCCAGACUCCUCCGGGAGGAAGAAGGGGGGAAUAUUGCACAUGGGGCGGAAGCCUGAUGCAGCAACGCCGCGGGCGGGAGGACGGCCUUCGGGUGGUAACCCGCUUCCGCCUGUGACGAAGCGUGAGUGACGGUAAUGGGUAAAGAAGCACCGGCUAACUACGUG
This 468-nucleotide ribosomal RNA is filed under the name uncultured bacterium. Its description in RNAcentral is "partial 16S ribosomal RNA". It matches the Rfam family "Bacterial small subunit ribosomal RNA", at positions 28 to 507 of the family's 1533-position model. The record is from RNAcentral.